CUGAACAGACGGGCCUCGAUCCCGCG
This 26-nucleotide transfer RNA is filed under the name Anolis cybotes (large-headed anole). RNAcentral's name for it is "partial tRNA-Asx". The record is from RNAcentral. RNAcentral also lists the same sequence under 1 other name. Lineage: Eukaryota; Metazoa; Chordata; Lepidosauria; Squamata; Anolidae.